Molecule: non-coding RNA, 373 nt
Organism: Pelobates cultripes (western spadefoot toad)
Lineage: Eukaryota; Metazoa; Chordata; Amphibia; Anura; Pelobatidae
Source: the annotation of a GenBank genome assembly
GGCAGGCAGGGUACAGGGUAAUGAACACAGAAGGGAGCGGGAGUGGGAAUGCUGGUCCUCAAGGGAAGGAGACUGAGACAUAAGAUAAGAUGACUCUAGGAACAAUCGUAGCGGCACGACCAAGCAGGACACCCUAACAGUAUGUUAACACACUUGCUGGCAGUUGACGACAAGGCCCUUAACUAGGUAGCGCAGUUGAGGAGACGACACUGAACCAAUCCCCACCCCUAAACAACCUCUACCCUAGAAGCACACCCUUUUCCCAGCGCCGUAGUCAGCAGGUCACUUUUAGCGAAAAAUAACAGACACAGAAGAGACGUAGCUCUCGAACAAGGGCAAAUUUGGACAAGGUAUACCAAGAAAAUUAUGCAAC